GGCCGCUUACUCCUCGUCCUCAGCCUCGUUGUCGGCAAUGUUGAAGUACCGGAGCUCGUAGACGUUGCGGUCCUUGUUGGAAGCAAUGACGCGCAGCCAGUCGCGCACGUUGUGCUUCUUCAGGUACUUCUUGGUGAGGUACUUCAGGUAGCGCUUGCUCAGCUGGGACUCAGCAGUCACGGUGACCUUGGUCUUCUCCUUGGCCACCUUGAUAGAGUCGCCCAGCACGCCGGUCUUGCC
This 240-nucleotide long non-coding RNA is filed under the name Chlamydomonas reinhardtii. RNAcentral's name for it is "long non-coding RNA (CREI_LNC000670)". The record is from RNAcentral. Lineage: Eukaryota; Viridiplantae; Chlorophyta; Chlorophyceae; Chlamydomonadales; Chlamydomonadaceae.